RNAcentral lists this ribosomal RNA (253 nucleotides) under uncultured bacterium. RNAcentral describes it as "partial 16S ribosomal RNA". It matches the Rfam family "Bacterial small subunit ribosomal RNA", at positions 524 to 776 of the family's 1533-position model. The record is from RNAcentral.
UACGUAGGGUGCAAGCGUUGUCCGGAAUUAUUGGGCGUAAAGAGCUUGUAGGCGGUUUGUCGCGUCUGCUGUGAAAUUUCGGGGCUCAACCCCGAACUUGCAGUGGGUACGGGCAGACUAGAGUGUGGUAGGGGAGACUGGAAUUCCUGGUGUAGCGGUGAAAUGCGCAGAUAUCAGGAGGAACACCAAUAGCGAAGGCAGCUCGCUGGGACGGUACUGACGCUGAGACGCGAAAGCGUGGGGAGCGAACAGG